AAAAGAAUGGCUGCUUCAAGUGCUGUCACCGCAAACUACGUCCUCAAGCCACCUCCAUACGCACUGGUUUGAUUUUUUUUUUCUUCUUUUUAAUAAAAAUCGAAAUUGUCGGGCAAAUGGCGUUUUGUUUUCGUUGGAUUAGAGAUUUGGCUUUUGAAUUACUAGAUGCUAUAACUUGUUACGCCCUCAUAGCCCUUAAAAUAUAUUUUAAUCCUAGCCAAAGGCGUCACAAAUGAAUUAUCAUCAGCUAAUGAACCAAAAAGGCGUUACAAAUGAACUCUUCUAAUUUCGUAAUGGAAGAAAAUAAAAAUCGAAUAAAUUUAUGCAUUAGUGAUUUUCGGGAAAUGGAAGGAGUCAAGUAGGGUGGUCCAUAUCGGGUAAAGGCCGUGAAUGUUCUAGUGGGAAAUUUGGGUAUGGGACAACAUAUCUGAAUUGAUUUUGAAACCAUAUUCCAAAACUAUCUCAGUCCGACCCGUUACUCAAACUUUAUUAAAUUGUCUAAAACAUAUUACUAUGUAGUUUGUAAUAAAAAACUGCAGUGUGGUGUAGUGUUAGAUAUAUAAAUUUUUAUAUAAAUUUAUGACCAUUCCUAGUUCAAAUUCAGACGUUCCUUGGUCUCAUAUUUGUGUUCCUUCUAGUGGACCUAUUGGUUAAGUGAGAGCAAUAUGUUGAAAUGUUUUUGUUAUAAAAUUGGAAAGGAUGCUUUGGAGCCGCAUAUGAGCAAACAAACUCUGGAGUUUCACUGGGGAAAGCAUCACAGGGCUUACGUGGAAAACCUCAAGAAACAGGUUCUUGGAACCGAGCUUGAAGGCAAGCCCUUAGAGCACAUUAUCCACAGCACUUACAACAAUGGCGAACUCCUCCCUGCUUUCAACAACGCUGCCCAGGUGAUAACAAACCCGUUUUUAGUUUGAGCUUUUUAAAUGGGUGCGUGAUUGUUUGAGCUGAUGAUGAUCCAGUGGUUGUGUUAAUAGGCGUGGAACCACGAGUUCUUCUGGGAAUCAAUGAAACCCGGUGGUGGAGGAAAACCAUCAGGAGAGCUUCUUGCUUUGCUUGAAAGAGAUUUCACUUCUUAUGAGAAGUUCUAUGAAGAGUUCAAUGCUGCUGCAGCCACUCAGUUUGGAGCUGGCUGGGCCUGGCUUGCUUGUAAGUGUUUCAGAUUUAAAAGCCUAACAUAGAUAUUUUAACUUCUUCCUUACUCUCAUCUCUCUGCUUUCAGAUGCAAAUGAUAAACUCAAAGUAGUGAAAACUCCAAAUGCUGUGAAUCCCCUUGUGCUUGGCUCUUUCGUAAGUUUUCAUGAAAGAACUUGAAUACACAAUUUACUUGACUAGAGAUUGCCGUACAAUUAAUGCAAAUCCUGAAAAUUUAAUAUUGGUCUGUUUUUCAUGCAGCCCUUGCUUACCAUCGAUGUCUGGGAGGUAAAUACACACUUUUAUACCAAAUCCAGUGCUUUUCUUUCUUACAAGUUGAUUGAUAAUUUUUGUUUUCUUUUGGUAAAUGGAACAGCAUGCUUACUACCUUGACUUCCAGGUAACAGCUUAUUCAUAAUUGUUAACAAAACGGUUUAUUUCAGUUUAUUUGUUUUGUUGAUUGUUGUAAUCUAUUUGUAUAUGAGCAGAACCGAAGACCAGAUUACAUAAAGACAUUCAUGACCAAUCUUGUGUCUUGGGAAGCUGUGAGUGCCAGACUUGAGGCCGCAAAGGCUGCUUCUUCCUCUUCUUCUUAAGCAGAGUUCUGAACAAUUUGACUUCAGUGAGUUCUGCACUUACUGGAGUUUUUUUUUUUUAAAUAAAGUAUUGGUCGUUGUAAUAAGGACACAGCUCUCUUGUUCUGUGUCACAGAGUCCUUGAUCUAGGUCUUCUACCUGACUACCUGUGUCAUGAACAAUUACCAUGCUCUUUCUGUGGUUUUUCUUUUGUGUGUGUGUGUGUGUGUUAAGUUUUUUCACCUGUUUUCC
Molecule: long non-coding RNA, 1958 nt
Filed under: Arabidopsis lyrata
Lineage: Eukaryota; Viridiplantae; Streptophyta; Magnoliopsida; Brassicales; Brassicaceae
Description: long non-coding RNA (ALYR_LNC000830)
Source: RNAcentral